UAAUUUCUCUCUGGACUCUGUCUAAUUUCUUGCUUUCUUUUUAUGCUUGUUCAGCGCGUGUGCUGCUCCGUUGUCAAAUGUUGAUAAUUUAUUUGCUGUAGGCUUUAGCUAGUUUAGUCCCAGUGAGUAGCUACUAGCUAGCUCUAUUAUAAUUAAUUCACGAACUAAUUUCUAUCCUUGUUUCAUUAUUGUCUGUUUGACACAUAUUGUCAACUUAAAUAGGUAAAACCAUUUUUUCAAAAUUUGAUAUUCUUCAAAAAAUACAGAAAAAAUACAGUAAAUGCACAUGUUUCCAAUAGUGCUCGGAUUUUUAGCUUAUUUGGGCAAUAUGAUUAGGAGAUAAUGUCUGUUAUAGUGAACAGAGUUAAAAUUUGGUUCAAAAUUUGAUAUUUUCCAGAAAAUCCAGAAAUAUUCUAGUGAAUAGUACAUGUUUCCAGUAGUAAUCUGGGAAACUUUGUGCUUAUUUGGACGAAUGGAUUUGGAGAUAAUGGUUAUCUCACUAAAAAGCUUAAAAAUUCUGUUCAAAAUUUGAUAUUUAAAAAUAAAACAAAAGAUUCUAGUAAAUAACAUGUUUCCAGUAGUAAUCCGGGAAAAAAAUCAGUUUAUUUGCACAAAAUGAUUAGGAAAUAAUCCAUUUUUUUCUUCAAAAGCGCGUCAAGUUUUCUCGGCAUAAACUUUGAGCCCACCCUCCAUUUUUUUUCUAGAUUCGCCACUAUUUGGGAGCAAAGUAGUCCCUAUGUAGUAGUUUUGCUCUGGACACCCUGUCCGAGUUGAUCACUCUUCUUCCUUUGAUUGAGCCCUUGAAGUUGAGAAUAUGCUCCACUUGACUGUUCAUUUCCUCUUUCAUGCUCAUGAGCAUACUCAAGUCCACUUCUUCGUUCGAAUCUGACGAGUCGAAGAACUCAUCUAGAAUCAUUUGGUCAAGCUCUGUCGGUCCAUACUCCUCGUCCGACGAAGCAUCGGAAUCCAUCGUUUUACCUAACAAAAUCACAAAAUAUCCGGUCGGACAAUGUGUCAAACACAUCAAGCACAAGGCGGAGACAGAGAGUUGUCGGACGUACCACGGUGGCGUUCGGGCUGGCGACCACGUCCCCCGUGGUGAGGACGGAAGGGCUCUUUCGGAGCUGGCAGCGGAGAGCCUGGGAAUGGCUGCGGAGCGGGCGCGGCGGCGGAGCACGAGAUGGACGUCGUGGAGGAGGAAGAAGAGAGGAGAUAGCAAAUGAAUCCGACUGGUCUUCGGGGUGGAUUUGUUGCAAUUUGGGAUGGGAUCGAGCUGUCGGGUAGGACGUGACGGGCGUGCCCGGGCACCUCCAUAUCCGCCUCAUAUUUGGGUUGGAUAUGAACGGUGCCGGUCAGUCCAGGCAUUUGAGGACCGUUUAAGAGGCCCGUCUGAGUCAAAAAAUCGUGACCGGAUAAUGACCAGGCGUAUGAGGCGGGUUUGAGGCGCCCGUCUCUAGAUGCUUUGCUUCCAGAGUUCAGUUCUCUUCAACCAACGAUGUAAGGUCAUUUCCAGUUUCAAACCGUUGCUCCAUCACCGCAACGCCGUGACCAGCUAGCAUUUAUACGACGCGUCCUGCGAGAGACUGGAGACAGUUCUAUUUGCGUCAGUAAGGGGUCGUUUGGUGGUUUGGAAAUUUCAAUGUAAUUUUUAUAAUAGAUCUGGUCCUUUAAAAAAAAAAUCUGUCAAUAAGAAAUCAUCAAGAGGGAGAGAGAACUUGGGGAAUCAAUGAAUGGACAUCUAGCUAGAAGAAAGAAGCUAAGUUUUAUCACGCGCGUGUAUUGUACGCACGCGUCACGGUCGGCUCUCGAAUGCCUUGCUCCCCACCUUGAUGGCACCAAAACCACCGCCGCGCGCGGCCAGUCCGCCCACCGCCGCGCCGCGACUCCUCUGCUCUGGACGUUUCAGCGGGCAGGCGCCGAACUCGCACGGCCCGUCCUCAGCGAUGGUCACCAUCGUCGCCGGGGGCUUCCUCCGCGACAGGACGGCCGCCGGCGCCUGGCUAAGGUGGACCUUCCUCUUCGCUGCCCCGACGUCCACCGGCUCGGGCGCGACGCGGCGCUGUUUCGACGCGGCACGGACAGGGUCGUCGGCGCGAUCCGAGCUCGCCCGCAGGUGCAUGGUCGUGGCCGGCCCGCCGAAGCCGCGGCCACCCACCACAGCCCCCGCCGGCAUGCGGCGCGCGCAGCCGGACAUGCAGCUCACGUAGAGGUCGCACGCCCUCGACAGCGCGCGAAUCGGCGCGCCGAGGCAGAAGAAGCACCUGCUCGUUUUCCUGCCACCCUUCUUCAUCCUUCUGUCUGCGUGCCGGAGCUGCGUUGGCUUCUCGCAGAGAAACACAAGAUCCUUUAAACUCGAUGGCCGGCUGCGUUAUGAGAGUGUACAAUGGCAACUCGAUCACCUCGUGAAAUAUAUACGCUUCCAUUUCGUCGACGUUGCCCGUUCCGUCCGCGUAAACCGCCGCUUGGUGUUGACCUUUUUGCGUUGGCGUUCAUAUCCGUGGGGUCGGCAGAUUUCUGUACCGGCGGAUAAGAGGGAAAUGGUCAGAAUCGGCAAUUAUUUUGAUGGAUUCGCAGGAAUUUGUCCACGGGUUUGGAGGAUAGGGCGGAGCAACAGGUGGUAUAAAUCGGCUGGCCAACUCGCACGCGCUGGGUCUGCUGAUCCAGCAAAUCAUUGCGUAUGUGCAUACCGUACGUGCAUGUUAGCCGUUUUUUGCGUGUCUGUUACGGAGUACUGUACUACCGGCAAAUAUACUCCCUCCGUCUAGGUGUGUAAGUCAUCUUACGAAAACCAAAUAAUCCCAAAACACUUAGACGCGGUGCAUUAAAUUCUAUCUCAUUUUUUGUUUCUUGACAUAUCAACCAAUAAGAGAAGUAAGGUGUGCAUGCUUUUAAUAACUUGAGACUAUCAAACACGACAUGCAGUGGUUAGUUCAUUGCAUGCAAUGCUAUUAAUUAGCAAAUAAACAUUAAGUUUUUUUGUUUUUUCCUCCUCCUUGGUCACGGUGCACAACCUAAAAUGACUUACUCACCUAGACGGAGGAAGUACAAUAGUAAAACUUUUCUACUGUUGCUUGUUUCAGCGCACGUAAGCCAUUGAAACACAGCGACCUCUAUUGUUUCGAUUGUCCAGUAAACCAUGUCUCCUGAGGAAGCUACCAUCACUUUUCCUUUUCAUUUUUAAAUUAAAUUUCUGAUUGGCCACUUGCCCCUUGAUUUUGGCAUAGAGAGGACCAAAGAGAAAGCAGAAGACACGGACACACCACCAUUAUGCAUUUACAUCAUUCUUAAGAAAGCAAUUAGGGACGGAAGCGUUAACAUACAGAGAUGUGGACUUUGGAGCAGAGCGGAGCAAUUAUUCAUGUUUCUCGGGGUCAACUUUGAAAAUUAACCUGUCUAAAAAAAACAUUGAAAAUUAACCAGAUCGCGGCCGUCGAUUUUUCUUCUACUGGACGGAUAUGCGCACCCGUUUGCGACCCGAAGCACUGGUCCUCCGAUCCGCUGGCCGGCCAGUCCAUAUCCCCUCUACCGCCUACCGCACGUCACUUGACCAGCCAGCCGCCCCACUCCACCCUCCACUGCGGCACGAGCUCCCGGCGAUGUCGUGGCUCGCGCGCUCCAUUGCGGCCACCCUCUCCUCCGCCCCCGACGACGACGAAGACGACCACUCCGAGGCGGCCUCCGGCGACAAAAGCCCGGAUCACGCCGCCAGCGCCGACGACGAGGAGGACGAGCAGCCGGACACCCCCGGCCGUGGGGUCAAGGGCGACAUCUCCGAGCUGACCGAGUCUCUCACCCGACGCUUCUGGGGCGUCGCCUCCUUCCUCGCGCCACCGCCGCCGGCCGGGGCCGAGGCCGCCGAGACGUCGACGGCCGCGGCUGAGGCGGAGGCGGAGGGAGAGUAUGGGCCCCAGUCCCCGCGGGUCGCCGGGAUCCGGAACGACCUGGCCGAGAUCGGGGGCAGGGUGCGGAGUGGCAUCUCGAUGCUGUCCAACGCCAACGCCGUGGUGGAGAUCUCCAAGAUCGCCUCGUCGUUCCUGCCUUUCGUGCCGGAGGAAGAGGAGGAGGAGGUGGAUGCGGUGGGCGUGACGGAGGAGGUGGUGGUGUUCGUCAGGCACAUCUCGACCUCUCCCGAGACGUGGCUCGAUUUCCCCCUCUUCGUCAACGACCGGCACGCCGAUGGUAAGACCCAGUUGCUUCAGACUUUUCUGCUCAAGUUUUAUCUGCAGUAGAUUAUUAUUUUUUGUCUACUUUGCACUUGUGUGGUUAUGAUAUGCAAGUGCAGCAGAAGACUCUGAAUUCUGAAACUGAGAUUAUUAGAGUGGAAUCAGGUGUUUUAAUCUAGGUCUUUGCAGUUUUGCUCAAACUAUGUUUAUACUGCCUAUGCUGUGGUUACUAGAAUGGUGUAUUUGCUAAGUGUGGAGGCAUGAGGAUGUAGCUUCAGGCCAAAUCAACCACAUCAUGUUCAAACUGACUGUUUCUCCACAUUUUUUAAGGUUUGCCAAGGAAUUGCGUUGAAUUAAUUAAUAUGUUAGCACUCCGUCUGAUUACAUUUGCUGAUGUCCAGUUCGACAGAGUGGGUACCUGAAAUGAGUUACUGUGUCUAGUCUCAUUAGGGCUUUAAUCGAGUUUGUUUGUUUAAUUGAAGUGAUAAUUAGUGAGGAAGUUUUGGAGUACAGAUUGCGGAUUUUAAUAAUGAGAGAGAAUGAUAGUCCAUGUAGUGUGUUCCAGCUCUCAAUAUGCACCUUCUCAUAAAUGCUUAUGAUGAAAAUUUUGUCACUUGCCAUGUAUUAUUAGUAUUGAAUUGUCACGAAGCCGCAAUUUCUGCAAAAUCAUCAGGAUUAACUAUGCCAUUUACUGAUCUACAAGACCUUCCAAAGCUAGAGAUGAAUUAGAAAACAUCAAAACACUCAAGUGACAAAGCUAGAUGCAGACUCAAAGCACAUAUACCAGCACCGUAACUUAACCUGAUGAUUCACGUAAACGACAUCAAAUAAGGUUGUUAUAAAAAUUGCUUGCUUGUAACAUUAAAGUUUUACUUAUUAAGAUGUACAAAUGAAGUCCCUACAAAUAAAUGAGUUGUGUCAAUUGCCCGCACACCUUCAAUCAAAUAACUCAAAAGAAGCACUUGACCUUGACUGCUUUCUAUACUUAGUGGAAGUUAGGCUUGUUUUCAAGGAAUCAUGGUUCCUGAUGAUAUCAGUACAUGUACACAAUAUAAUUGAAUCAAGUACAUUUAUCCAGCAAUUUUGUUUUGUAGAUUUUAGCUUUUGUACAUAGACUUAUUGCCAAUCUUCCUGUUGUUUAUGGCGUAAUCAUAAUUUUUCCUACCUACCAAACUUGCGGACCAUGGAACUAUAAUUGACUACUGUUCUUCUUUGCACUAACUUGGCAUAGUAAUCAGUCACAAAUGUGUUUUUAGAAUGAUCAUGAAUGCUUAUUACUAUAUGUUUAACAUCAUGCUCUCCUUCUCUUCAUUAUGUGGGAGUAGUGUUUACUUGCCAUUCAUGCAUCUUGUUCCAUCAUGUCAGUUGUAUGUUACAUAUCACGCCUGACUGUUGCUCAAUUCCUUCGCUUAUAUCUGCUAUGCUUUUGUGUUCAGAUUUUGAACUGUCAGAUGCACAAUAUGAACAUGCAUUGGCUAUAGAGCGUAUAGUACCAAGCUUAUCAUAUCUCAGAACCGAACUUUGUUCGACCAAUAUGAGUGAAGCAUGCUUUUGGAAGAUAUAUUUUGUGCUUCUUCACUCAAAGCUCAACAAGGAAGAUGCUGAACUUCUUUCAACGACACAAGUACACUCCCUUCUCUUUGUCCUAUUAUUUCUGUUGUGUUUUCCAAACAUUCUUAGUUACUAUAGAUUAUCAUGCCAUCUUGCUGCAAUGCAUGCAAACCUACAAAUAGCUUUGUAAACAGAAACACGUGCCCAUGCAUUUGAUUGUGUUUACCUGUUUCCGAAUGGGGCCUCUCAUUUCCAAAUUCACCUGUUAAGAGUCAAUUUUGGAGUUGUAGCUGUAUUGGUGAAGUUUUUUUUAUCAGGAAUUCAUCUUUUGAUCCCUUCUAUAUCUGCAAUACGUCAUAUUGCAUGUUCACAAGAAAGAAGACAUCAAUCUGCAUUCUCAUUAAGCUUGAGAUAGUGAAAUUCCCUGAUACUUUAUUCUAUGCAACUGUAUGGAAUUGGAUCUGGAUUGUUUAUCCAUAGUUGAAAAAGGGAUUGAACCUAUGGUCUCAUAAUAUUGCGAGACUUGUCUGAAACGUGUAAGCUGGGAAAUCAGGUCAAUUUAUCUGAGUACUGAAAACCAGCUUCAGAAUAUCUAGAACUUAAGAGUGGCCCUUGUUGGCUUUAUGAACAAGGAUUGAGUGUUACAUCCACUUCCAGCCAAAUAUCAAUUAUGAUAAAUCCACCAUGUACCAUCAUCAUUGAAACAGUCUUGCUUAAGUUUAUAUUAGCUCUGAAUGCUAAGUUGAGGAUAUUGUUAACUUUAAGGUCGCGAGCAUAACAAAGCCCAGAAGUGGCAUCUAACUAUAUAUGAUCUCCCUUAAAUCUUUAUGCAUAUCCAAGCUCCACAUUGUAUUCUCAUUGCAGAUACGCUAAGUCACUCGUCAUGUUGAAUCUAUCGGCUCAUCAAGUUGAAUAUACUCAGCGUUGUUAUUUUUUUCAACAUUCUUGUGGUGGAAACAAAUAGGAUUGCUUAAAACUAAGGUCUUCCAAAUGGAAAUAUCAUUGUAAAAUAUAGCGUACUCCCUAGUCCCUACAGCAACCUGAACAGCAGGAGGAUAUGUUAAUGGGCCGUUAGAAUUUGGAUUGUGAACUAAGAUUAUCUUAUUUUUUCUAGUAUGCAUAUAAUCCAUGGACAAUUUCCCGUCAAUAUAGUUACAGAAUGGUGACCAUCAUGCAUGUGGAAUGUUGUGGAUCAUAUUAUGAUGUCAUCGGUAGCAUGUAUACUAGGGAAACUUACAUUGACAACAACAAGAAUUAAGAAAUGUCAGACAUUCUAGUAAUGUUGGAAAGGGGUUCUGGCGAUGAUCUUUUGCUAAAUAUCACCUUAUUGAGAUAUUUCUUUCAUGCAGAUACUGGAAGCAAGAGAAGAGUUAUUGCAGAGCUCUCCAAGGAUGAAAAAUGUUGCGUCUGAGGGUCCUGGGGGCUCAUCAGAAUGCAGCAAUGUUCUAUCUACCCAAGCUGAAGGUAGAGAGUUGUCACCCUCAAGCAUCCAAGACAAGAGUGGAAUGUCUGAAGCAACUUCUUUCCAAGAACCAACUCCUGAUCCUCUGCCAGGGGCUGAGGCUGACAAGCAUCCCAUUUCAACCAGCGAGCCGGAAAUUAUUGACAAGUCUGUAAUUGAAGAGGAGCUGGUGGUGAAUACUGAAAUCAAGAAUCCGGGUGACAAACCCAACCUGUACACCCCGGAGGAUGACGACGACAAAGAAGUGGAGGAUUGGCUAGAGGACAUGGACCAUGCCGACAACAAAACAGGCAAUAUCACCUCGGUUGGGCAGGACGAAGACGUGUCAUUCAGCGACCUGGAGGAUGACGAUGAUGAUUAAGGGUUGCCUGCUGGUAUAUACCGAGCCCAGUGCCUGAUACAUAUGCUGCGGCUUCAAGACAUACGGAUACGGUCGCUGUUAAACGAAGGAUCGUGUCUCCGUAGCCACUACAAAGCGAACAGAGCGGAAGCAGAAUCACGACAAGUUGAUAAGUGUAUGUCUCUGGGGCUUUGCUUUCUGGAUUCUAGUUGCACGUUUACUUGUGUGCCGUCAUGGUCUGUACAUAGAAACACUAGCCGUGCGUGUGCAACUACCGCUUCUAAGCCGCGUCGAUGCAAGAUUCUGAAUGUAGAUAUCAGAACAUGUUUUUUUUAGUGAACGCACAAUACGACAGGAACUAAAGCUGUCAGAUAUCGUGUAACCGUUCAAGUUCAAGUAAAACUCGUUUUGUUUCCGUAUUCUACUUCUUAGAGUUUGGGGAGCAGCCUGCUUUUUACUCUCC
RNAcentral lists this long non-coding RNA (7979 nucleotides) under Triticum aestivum (bread wheat). Its description in RNAcentral is "long non-coding RNA (TAES_LNC027586)". The record is from RNAcentral. Lineage: Eukaryota; Viridiplantae; Streptophyta; Magnoliopsida; Poales; Poaceae.